GACGAACGCUGGCGGCGUGCUUAACACAUGCAAGUCGAACGGAAAGGCCCUGCUUUUGUGGGGUUCUCGAGUGGCGAACGGGUGAGUAACACGUGAGUAACCCGCCCUUAUCUGUCGGAUAACUUCACGGAACUGGGGCUAAUAUCGGAUAGGAUAUCCUGCUGCAUGGUGGGGGUUGGAAAGUGUCGGCGGUUGGGGAUGGACUCGCGGCUUAUCAGCUUGUUGGUGGGGUAGUGGCUUACCACGGCUUUGACGGGUAGCCGGCCUGAGAGGGUGACCGGCCACAAUGGGACUAAGAUACGGCGCAGACUCCUACGGGAGGCAGCAGUGGGGAAUAUUGCACAGUGGGCGGGAGCCUGAUGCAGCAACGCCGCGUGCGGGAUGACGGCCUUCGGGGUGUAAACCGCUGUCGCCUGUGACGAAGCGGGAGUGACGGUAAUGGGUAAAGAAGCACCGGCUAACUACGUG
Molecule: ribosomal RNA, 468 nt
Filed under: uncultured bacterium
Lineage: Bacteria
Description: partial 16S ribosomal RNA
Rfam family: Bacterial small subunit ribosomal RNA
Source: RNAcentral